UACGGGAGGCAGCAGUAGGGAAUUUUCGGCAAUGGGCGCAAGANUGACCGAGCAACGCCGCGUGAACGAUGAAGGUCUUUGGAUUGUAAAGUUCUGUUGUGAGGGAAGAAUAACUGGUAUAGGAAAUGAUAUCAGUCUGACGNUACCUCGCCAGAAAGCCACGGCUAACUACGUGCCAGCAGCCGCGGUAAU
Molecule: ribosomal RNA, 192 nt
Filed under: uncultured rumen bacterium
Lineage: Bacteria
Description: partial 16S ribosomal RNA
Rfam family: Bacterial small subunit ribosomal RNA
Source: RNAcentral